UGAGUUUGAUCCUGGCUCAGAACGAACGCUGGCGGCAGGCCUAACACAUGCAAGUCGAACGAGAACCGGGGCUUCGGCCCCGCGGAAAGUGGCGGACGGGUGAGUAACACGUGGGAAUCUGCCCAGCAGUACGGAAUAACCUCGGGAAACCGGUGCUAAUACCGUAUACGCCCUUCGGGGGAAAGAUUUAUCGCUGCUGGAUGAGCCCGCGCCCGAUUAGCUAGUUGGUAGGGUAAAAGCCUACCAAGGCGACGAUCGGUAGCUGGUCUGAGAGGAUGAUCAGCCACACUGGGACUGAGACACGGCCCAGACUCCUACGGGAGGCAGCAGUGGGGAAUAUUGGACAAUGGGGGAAACCCUGAUCCAGCCAUGCCGCGUGAGUGAAGAAGGCCCUAGGGUUGUAAAGCUCUUUCACCAAGGACGAUGAUGACGGUACUUGGACAAGAAGCCCCGGCUAACUCCGUGCCAGCAGCCGCGGUAAUACGGAGGGGGCUAGCGUCGUUCGGAAUUACUGGGCGUAAAGCGCGCGUAGGCGGUAAUCCAAGUCAGGCGUGAAAGCCCCAGGCUC
RNAcentral lists this ribosomal RNA (568 nucleotides) under uncultured Alphaproteobacteria bacterium. Its description in RNAcentral is "bacterial SSU rRNA". It matches the Rfam family "Bacterial small subunit ribosomal RNA", at positions 1 to 610 of the family's 1533-position model. Lineage: Bacteria; Pseudomonadati; Pseudomonadota; Alphaproteobacteria. The record is from RNAcentral.